RNAcentral lists this ribosomal RNA (426 nucleotides) under uncultured bacterium. Its description in RNAcentral is "bacterial SSU rRNA". It matches the Rfam family "Bacterial small subunit ribosomal RNA", at positions 356 to 773 of the family's 1533-position model. The record is from RNAcentral.
AGGGAAUCUUCCGCAAUGGACGAAAGUCUGACGGAGCAACGCCGCGUGAGUGAUGAAGGUUUUCGGAUCGUAAAACUCUGUUGUUAGGGAAGAACAAGUACCGUUCGAAUAGGGCGGUACCUUGGCGGUACCUAACCAGAAAGCCACGGCUAACUACGUGCCAGCAGCCGCGGUAAUACGUAGGUGGCAAGCGUUGUCCGGAAUUAUUGGGCGUAAAGCGCGCGCAGGCGGUCUUUUAAGUCUGAUGUGAAAGCCCACGGCUCAACCGUGGAGGGUCAUUGGAAACUGGAAGACUUGGGUGCAGAAGAGGAGAGUGGAAUUCCACGUGUAGCGGUGAAAUGCGUAGAGAUGUGGAGGAACACCAGUGGCGAAGGCGACUCUCUGGUCUGUAACUGACGCUGAGGCGCGAAAGCGUGGGGAGCAAAC